CUGGCUCAGAUUGAACGCUGGCGGCAGGCUUAACACAUGCAAGUCGAGCGGGGGAAGGUAGCUUGCUACUGGACCUAGCGGCGGACGGGUGAGUAAUGCUUAGGAAUCUGCCUAUUAGUGGGGGACAACAUCUCGAAAGGGAUGCUAAUACCGCAUACGUCCUACGGGAGAAAGCAGGGGAUCUUCGGACCUUGCGCUAAUAGAUGAGCCUAAGUCGGAUUAGCUAGUUGGUGGGGUAAAGGCCUACCAAGGCGACGAUCUGUAGCGGGUCUGAGAGGAUGAUCCGCCACACUGGGACUGAGACACGGCCCAGACUCCUACGGGAGGCAGCAGUGGGGAAUAUUGGACAAUGGGGGGAACCCUGAUCCAAGCCAUGCCGCGUGUGUGAAGAAGGCCUUAUGGUUGUAAAGCACUUUAAGCGAGGAGGAGGCUACUUUAGUUAAUACCUAGAGAUAGUGGACGUUACUCGCAGAAUAAGCACACCGGCUAACUCUGUGCCAGCAGCCGCGGUAAUACAGAGGGUGCGAGCGUUAAUCGGAUUUACUGGGCGUAAAGCGUGCGUAGGCGGCUUAUUAAGUCGGAUGUGAAAUCCCCGAGCUUAACUUGGGAAUUGCAUUCGAUACUGGUGAGCUAGAGUAUGGGAGAGGAUGGUAGAAUUCCAGGUGUAGCGGUGAAAUGCGUAGAGAUCUGGAGGAAUACCGAUGGCGAAGGCAGCCAUCUGGCCUAAUACUGACGCUGAGGUACGAAAGCAUGGGGAGCAAACAGGAUUAGAUACCCUGGUAGUCCAUGCCGUAAACGAUGUCUACUAGCCGUUGGGGCCUUUGAGGCUUUAGUGGCGCAGCUAACGCGAUAAGUAGACCGCCUGGGGAGUACGGUCGCAAGACUAAAACUCAAAUGAAUUGACGGGGGCCCGCACAAGCGGUGGAGCAUGUGGUUUAAUUCGAUGCAACGCGAAGAACCUUACCUGGCCUUGACAUACUAGAAAC
RNAcentral lists this ribosomal RNA (986 nucleotides) under Acinetobacter baumannii. Its description in RNAcentral is "bacterial SSU rRNA". It matches the Rfam family "Bacterial small subunit ribosomal RNA", at positions 19 to 996 of the family's 1533-position model. The record is from RNAcentral. Lineage: Bacteria; Pseudomonadati; Pseudomonadota; Gammaproteobacteria; Moraxellales; Moraxellaceae.